ACUACAAAGGCCGGCCACCAAAGAGGGUGAUUUAGCUAACAAUCUUUCACCCUUUUGGUAAUUCCUUCAUCCUUCUCACUACACUAGUGGGUGAGGAUCUUUAGAGGUUUCCUACUUUGGGAACUUGAAGAGAACCUAGGAGCACUCAUUGUAACAAAGUGGAGGAGGUAAGGAAGGAAGCUAGGCUCAAGGAGUUCAAGGAACAAAGGGCUUGGAGGUGGUCCAUCCUUGGUCUCAAGUUUAGAUCAAGAGGUAUAAGACUAA
This 264-nucleotide long non-coding RNA is filed under the name Malus domestica (apple). Its description in RNAcentral is "long non-coding RNA (MDOM_LNC006045)". The record is from RNAcentral. Lineage: Eukaryota; Viridiplantae; Streptophyta; Magnoliopsida; Rosales; Rosaceae.